This 440-nucleotide ribosomal RNA is filed under the name uncultured bacterium. RNAcentral describes it as "bacterial SSU rRNA". It matches the Rfam family "Bacterial small subunit ribosomal RNA", at positions 28 to 481 of the family's 1533-position model. The record is from RNAcentral.
GACGAACGCUGGCGGCGUGCUUAACACAUGCAAGUCGAACGGUGACCCAGGGCUUGCCCUGGUGAUCAGUGGCGAUCGGGUGAGUAACACGUGGGCAACCUGCCCUGACUUCGGGAUAACUCCUCGAAAGAGGAGCUAAUACCGGAUACGACCACUUCGGACAUCCGAUGGUGGUGGAAAGUUUUUCGGUCAGGGAUGGGCCCGCGGCCUAUCAGCUAGUUGGUGGGGUAAUGGCCUACCAAGGCGACGACGGGUAGCCGGCCUGAGAGGGCGACCGGCCACACUGGGACUGAGACACGGCCCAGACUCCUACGGGAGGCAGCAGUGGGGAAUAUUGCGCAAUGGGCGAAAGCCUGACGCAGCGACGCCGCGUUGAGGGAUGAAGGCCUUCGGGUUGUAAACCGUCUCUCAGCAGGACGAAGCGAAAGUGACGGUACCUG